Molecule: non-coding RNA, 135 nt
Filed under: Aurantiochytrium limacinum
Lineage: Eukaryota; Bigyra; Thraustochytrida; Thraustochytriidae
Source: RNAcentral
AUGAGUAUAUACGAAAAAUCUAGCUAGUUGCUAUUGUCCGACGAUCAAUUUUCAAGAAUCAUUAUGCACGAAAACGAAAGUAAAAAGAGGGGAGAAACAUUCGACUGACUCGCUCACUCACUAACUCACUCACUC